This 93-nucleotide transfer RNA is filed under the name Ramalina farinacea. It matches the Rfam family "tRNA". From Rfam's summary of the family: Transfer RNA (tRNA) molecules are approximately 80 nucleotides in length. Their secondary structure includes four short double-helical elements and three loops (D, anti-codon, and T loops). The record is from Rfam by way of RNAcentral. Lineage: Eukaryota; Fungi; Ascomycota; Lecanoromycetes; Lecanorales; Ramalinaceae.
UCCGAACUGGUCUAGUGGUUAGGAUAUCCGCCUCUCAAUGCUCAGUAGAGAUCUUAUUCGCGGAUGGCCGGGGUUCGAUUCCCCGGUUCGGAA